GUCAUCAUUUAACCAUUUACUUUCAAAAGCAAAAAAACUUAAAGAUGAACAGUGACGACAAAAAAGAAAGAAAAGAUGAAACAGUGAAAGCCAAGUACAGUCAUUUUGAUUAAACCGUAUUCAUUAACCAACUUUUCACUAACUAUGGUAAACCAACCCCUGACCCGAACCGAACCGUUCUUGUUUUUAACCAAUGAUUCAUUCAAUCAGAGUCUUUAUCCGUAGAAGUCAAUACCUCCGUCUCAGCCGCACCCAAAUCCGGAGCUAUUCCGGUGCCGUUGUACUGCUGAAUCACCAAAACCGAUGCUUUUGUCGAAGAUUCCGGCGAAAUCAACAAGCUUCCUACAGGUCCAAGCUCCGGACAUUCACUAUUCUCCCUAAUCGCCAAUGCAAUUUCUCCACCUGGCAUUCUACCAACCAAAAACAAAUUGCUCCGCCGCACUUCCUCAAUCGCCGAUCUAACAUCCACGGCGGCGUUUUCAAUCUGUUUCUCCACGAACUUAACCGAUUCGUCCACCGAAGAUAUCUUCCUUAUCUCAGACAUAAUCUCCUCAUCCGAUUUCAGAUUCUUCACACUCUGAUUCUCGUUGUUAUUGUUACUCACUUCAACAUUAACAAUCUCUCCGACUCUCUCCGGCGAUACCACAAAUCGGAAAACAGUCAAAACAAUUCCGGGAUGCUCCGCCAUACGUAAUCCAUAAGCCAACGCUUCACGAUCAUCAGGACCACCGAAGAACAGAACAACAACAGAGUAAGAAACAUCUUGAGCUGAGACUUGACUUGAACCUCCGAGUCCACGGUCAACGAAUAUACCAACCGAACAAGGAGCUUGAAGCAAAACUCUCCGGUUAACCCAACGGUAAUCGCCACGUGUAGUCUCUAACGAACCAUCAAGCUGUUGAUGCUUGUGAAACGGAAGAAUCACAAUGGCUGCUUUUUUUCUUACAGCUGUUGUGCAGAUAUCUUCAUGAAUAUCAGACAUUGAAGAGAUUGCUGUCAUUGGUCGGACAUUGACUCUGCUUAGCUGUUGAAAAGCUUGGAAAGCAACUACUACUUGAUCAGCGUCUGCGUUUACUCCUCUUCUGUUCCAAAACGGCAUUCCGUUUUUCCGAACUUUAUGAACCAUUAGAAUAGCUGAUGAUCUCUCUGAUAGUUCCCGUAAGUGGAGAGCGUAAACGCAGAGCCCUUCGCCUUUUUCGAUACCUCUUGAUGCUUCUAGGAGGUUUAUCAUUGAAGGAAUGCUUCCUGCUCCGUGGAAACAUGUGAGGAUUCGAAGCUGUGUGUUUGUGUUCUCUCGUUCUACUGCCCUGUGUUUGUAUUCUCCUUCUUUCUUCGCUCUUCUCGCUGGUUUGUAGACUGCCAUUACGACUGGUGUGGUGAUGAAGGUUGUGAAGAGAGCCAUUAGAACCAUUAUGGCAAAUGUCUGAUCAUUAAGAACCUGAGGACACAACAAAAGAAAGAUUUAAGUUAUAAACUUUCAUGACGCAAAUUGUUAAGGAUUUGAAAAAGUUAUACCUUUCGAUCUUUUCCGAUGUUGAGGACGAUGAGUUCGACCAAUCCUUUAGUGUUCAUGAGGAAUCCUAAUGUUAUUGCUUCUCGCAUAGGUAUCUUGAAGGCGAGGGAAACACCGAGAGUGCCCAAUAUCUUACCGAAACAAGCUGUGGCGGUGACUAAAACCAGAAGACCCCAAGACUGAGCUCCUUGGAUCGUUGCCACAUUAGUUUUCAGACCACUUGCCACAAAGUAAAGCGGCAGGAAGAGACCGGAUACAAGAUCUUCCACCUUCUCAACUAGUGCACCAGCAAAAGGUCCUUCCUUUGGAAUCAAAACACCCACCACAAAGGCACCAAACAUGGAGUGGAUUCCAAUGGCAUCAGUUAUGAAUCCACAAACAAGAACUACAGCCAAAGUGGCACAGAUGUAGGUUUCCUCGAUAGGUUCUCCCUCGUGGCACCUCCGGGAAAUCCAUCUAAAGAUUGGUGGAAUGAUGAAAGACGCACCGAUAACAAAAGCACACCCGGAAAGGAAAACCCAGAGAGAGACAAGGGGAGAGGUAUUGGAUCCCGAGAGAGCAAUGGCUAGAGCAAGUAGAAUCCAAGCUGCCACAUCGUUAACGGCAGCUGCCGACAUAGCAAGUCGUCCUAUCUCAGUAGUUAGAAGCUUUAGCUCCGCUAAGAUACGGGCCAACACAGGGAAUGCAGUGAUAGAGAGUGCCACACCCAUGAAGACGAGAAACGCGGUACUAUUCACUCCUUUGGAGAUUGUUGCUUUUAAAACGAAUGAAGAACCAAUGCCAAGAGCAAACGGGAGGGUUAUUCCAGCCAAGGCAAUUCCCAAAGCCUUUUUCCCGGUGCGACGAAGGGCUUUGGUAUCAAUCUCUAGACCAGCAAGGAAAAGGAAGAAGAGAAGGCCGAGAUUAGCCAGAGUUUCAAGAACAGUCAAGCUUUUCUUCGGGAACACAGCGUCUAGAAAAGCCUUGGAACGACCAAGAAGAGAAGGUCCAAGCAUAAUCCCACCCUGCAAAUCAACAGACUAAAUCAUUCACCAAAAAAACAGUACUGAUCAAGAGUCAAGAAAUUGACAAAAGAAAAAAAACUUACAAUAACUUCAGCAAUAACACGAGGCUGUCUCAAAGGUCUUAAAAGGUAAGCAAGAACACGAGUGAGAACUAUAACAAUAACUAUCUGCAGAAUCGCAAGAGGUAACGCAAAGUCUAUAGGGUUAUCUCCUUGGAAAACUCCAUUAGAGGUUGCUUUCAUCGGAGCAGGACAAGCUUUUGUAGAAUUUGUAGCCAUCCUUGCAGACUAAACCUUGUUCCCACGUCCCAGAAGAGUAGAGAAACUUCUUCAAAACCCCUAUUAAAAAAAACAAUCAAGCUUCGAUCUUUAUGUUGAUAAACAAAAAAAGCUUCGAUCUUUAGAAUUCUUAUAUUCUUAGAAUCCAAUUAAGAAUCAUA
Arabidopsis thaliana (thale cress) is the source of this 2956-nucleotide long non-coding RNA. RefSeq annotates it as other RNA. The record is from RefSeq. The transcript has a single exon. Lineage: Eukaryota; Viridiplantae; Streptophyta; Magnoliopsida; Brassicales; Brassicaceae.